GAGUUUGAUCAUGGCUCAGAUUGAACGCUGGCGGCAUGCCUUACACAUGCAAGUCGAACGGCAGCAUGAUCUAGCUUGCUAGAUUGAUGGCGAGUGGCGAACGGGUGAGUAAUACAUCGGAACGUGCCCUGUAGUGGGGGAUAACUAGUCGAAAGAUUAGCUAAUACCGCAUACGACCUGAGGGUGAAAGUGGGGGACCGCAAGGCCUCAUGCUAUAGGAGCGGCCGAUGUCUGAUUAGCUAGUUGGUGGGGUAAAGGCCCACCAAGGCGACGACCAGUAGCUGGUCUGAGAGGACGAUCAGCCACACUGGGACUGAGACACGGCCCAGACUCCUACGGGAGGCAGCAGUGGGGAAUUUUGGACAAUGGGCGAAAGCCUGAUCCAGCAAUGCCGCGUGUGUGAAGAAGGCC
Molecule: ribosomal RNA, 411 nt
Filed under: uncultured microorganism
Description: bacterial SSU rRNA
Rfam family: Bacterial small subunit ribosomal RNA
Source: RNAcentral